Molecule: ribosomal RNA, 157 nt
Filed under: Pseudomonas simiae
Lineage: Bacteria; Pseudomonadati; Pseudomonadota; Gammaproteobacteria; Pseudomonadales; Pseudomonadaceae
Description: partial 16S ribosomal RNA
Source: RNAcentral
GAAAAGAGAAGAAAAAGGAAGGAAAAAAAGAGGAGAAGGAGAAAAAAUGGAAUAAAAAAGAAACAGAGGUGAGAAAGAGUGGGGAGAAAAAAGGAAUAGAAAAAAAGGUAGAAAAAGAAGAAAAAGAUGACAACAAGAAGUUGGAAGCCUUGAGCUG